GACGAACGCUGGCGGCGUGCUUAACACAUGCAAGUCGAACGAAGUGGCGCACGGGUGAGUAACGCGUAAUCAACCUGCCCUUCAGAGGGGGACACCAGUUGGAAACGACUGCUAAUACCGCAUACUUAAGGAGGGGAUUGCGUCUGAUUAGAUAGUUGGAGGGGUAACGGCCCACCAGGGCGAGGAUCGGUAGCCGGUGUUAGAGGAGGAACGGGCAAAUUGGGACUGAGACACGGCCCAGACUCCUACGGGAGGCAGCAGGGGGGAAUCUUCCGCAAUGGACGAAAGUCUGACGGAGCAACGCCGCGUGAGUGAUGACGGCCUUCGGGUUGUAAAGCUCUGUUAAUCGGGACGCGGUACCGGAAGAGAAAGCCACGGCUAACUACGUGCCAGCAGCCGCGGUAAUAC
RNAcentral lists this ribosomal RNA (408 nucleotides) under uncultured bacterium. RNAcentral describes it as "partial 16S ribosomal RNA". It matches the Rfam family "Bacterial small subunit ribosomal RNA", at positions 28 to 526 of the family's 1533-position model. The record is from RNAcentral.